GGGUGUUUGGUCUAGUAGUAUGAUUCUUGUUUCGGGUGCAAGAGGCCUUUAGUUCAAUUUUUACAACACCCC
Molecule: transfer RNA, 72 nt
Filed under: Ipomoea nil (Japanese morning glory)
Lineage: Eukaryota; Viridiplantae; Streptophyta; Magnoliopsida; Solanales; Convolvulaceae
Rfam family: tRNA
About the family: Transfer RNA (tRNA) molecules are approximately 80 nucleotides in length. Their secondary structure includes four short double-helical elements and three loops (D, anti-codon, and T loops). Further hydrogen bonds mediate the characteristic L-shaped molecular structure. tRNAs have two regions of fundamental functional importance: the anti-codon, which is responsible for specific mRNA codon recognition, and the 3' end, to which the tRNAs corresponding amino acid is attached (by aminoacyl-tRNA synthetases). tRNAs cope with the degeneracy of the genetic code in two manners: having more than one tRNA (with a specific anti-codon) for a particular amino acid; and 'wobble' base-pairing, i.e. permitting non-standard base-pairing at the 3rd anti-codon position.
Source: Rfam by way of RNAcentral